UGCAAUAGUGGGCCUGCUGGUUGUC
This 25-nucleotide non-coding RNA is filed under the name Mus musculus (house mouse). Lineage: Eukaryota; Metazoa; Chordata; Mammalia; Rodentia; Muridae. The record is from RNAcentral.